UAAAAAGGUCUGGACUGUAGCUCAUGGG
This 28-nucleotide non-coding RNA is filed under the name Mus musculus (house mouse). Lineage: Eukaryota; Metazoa; Chordata; Mammalia; Rodentia; Muridae. The record is from RNAcentral.